This 922-nucleotide unclassified non-coding RNA is filed under the name Anthonomus grandis grandis. Its description in RNAcentral is "uncharacterized LOC126739417". The record is from RNAcentral. Lineage: Eukaryota; Metazoa; Arthropoda; Insecta; Coleoptera; Curculionidae.
AUUUUUUUCUGCUAUUAGAAAAAAAAUUGAUUUUGCUAUUCAACCCAGAGUAUUUAUGUCGGAUAUGGCUGAUUCAUACUACAAUGCCUGGAUUCAGGUGAUGGAAGCUGCUACUUUUAGGUUGUACUGUACGUGGCAUGUAGAUCGGGCUUGGAGAAAAAACUUAAGCAAGAUUAAUUCUAAAGAAAAAAGGGACAUUAUCUACAAGCAGUUACGUACCUUAAUGCAAGAAACGGACGAAAAGGCAUUUGAUGCAAUGCUUGCCAGUUUUUUGGAAUUAUUGCUAACCGAUCCAGAGACACAGGAAUUCUAUGAAUAUUUCCUUAAAUAUUAUACAAAUAUUUCAAAAUGUUGGGCCUAUUGUCAUAGAAUGAAAAGUGGUCUAAAUACCAACAUGCACAUAGAGCGCAUGCACAGAACAAUAAAAUACAUAUAUUUAAAUGGAAAACAUACAAAACGACUGGACAAAGCUAUAUCUGCUAUAUUAAAAUUUGUCAGAGAUAAACUUUUUGAUCAAGUUAUUAUCACAAACAAAGGAAAGCUUUGUUCUAAAAUUAAUAGUAUUAGGUCAAGGCAUAUAAAAAGCAACAGUUUAAGUUUUGAAUCUAUACUACCCCAUGAAGAAGGUUGGCAAAUAUUUUCAUCAACUUCCAAGGAUUUUUAUUACAUUCAUGAAGAAAACAAAAAUUGCCAAUGCAAACUAAUUUGUACUGAUUGCAAUAUAUGCUUUCACAGAUUCUCGUGUACUUGCCUCGAUUCAAGUAUUAAAUGGAAUAUGUGUAAACAUGUUCAUUUAUUGUCAAAAUAUCUCAAGACCCUUCCUUUUGCUGAAGAAGAUAUAUUUGAAAAUUCAGCCAACAUUUCAACAAACCAUUAGGUACUGAUGAAUGAAAUGGUAUAUUAAAGUCUGUCAUGAUAAUAG